CAGUCGCCACGGGAAUACAGAGGGUGCGAGCGUUAAUCGGAUUUACUGGGCGUAAAGCGUGCGUAGGCGGCUUCUUAAGUCGGAUGUGAAAUACCUGAGCUUAACUUAGGAAUUGCAUUCGAUACUGGGAAGCUAGAGUAUGGGAGAGGAUGGUAGAAUUCCAGGUGUAGCGGUGAAAUGCGUAGAGAUCUGGAGGAAUACCGAUGGCGAAGGCAGCCAUCUGGCCUAAUACUGACGCUGAGGUACGAAAGCAUGGGGAGCAAACAGGAUUAGAUACCCCCGUAGUCCCUGUCUCUUAUAC
This 301-nucleotide ribosomal RNA is filed under the name uncultured bacterium. Its description in RNAcentral is "partial 16S ribosomal RNA". It matches the Rfam family "Bacterial small subunit ribosomal RNA", at positions 509 to 807 of the family's 1533-position model. The record is from RNAcentral.